Molecule: ribosomal RNA, 447 nt
Filed under: uncultured bacterium
Lineage: Bacteria
Description: bacterial SSU rRNA
Rfam family: Bacterial small subunit ribosomal RNA
Source: RNAcentral
GAUGAACGCUAGCGGCAGGCUUAAUACAUGCAAGUCGAACGGUAAGUUUGGUAGCAAUAUCAAACCAAGAGUGACGUACGGGUGCGUAACACGUGUGCAACCUACCUUGUACAGGAGUAUAGCUCGGGGAAACUCGAAUUAACCCUCCAUGAGAUCAUAGAAUGGCAUCAUUUAGUGAUUAAAACUCAGGUGGUACAAGAUGGGCAUGCGUCUGAUUAGAGUUGGCGGGGUAAUGGCCCACCAAGACGAUGAUCAGUAGGGGACCUGAGAGGGUGAUCCCCCACACUGGCACUGAGAUACGGGCCAGACUCCUACGGGAGGCAGCAGUAGGGAAUAUUGGUCAAUGGGUGAGAGCCUGAACCACGCCAUGCCGCGUGCAGGAAGAAGGCGUUAUGCGUUAGUAAACUGUCUUUUGCCGAGGGGAAUAAAAAGUCUGUGCGCAGAUAA